UGUUGUGAAUGAUGAUGAACAACAAAUUAACAGUUAUCCCUGGCUGAUGUUACAGGUGAUGAGAAUUUGUAAUAUCUGACACACUG
Molecule: small nucleolar RNA, 86 nt
Organism: Lotus japonicus
Lineage: Eukaryota; Viridiplantae; Streptophyta; Magnoliopsida; Fabales; Fabaceae
Product: small nucleolar RNA R38
Exons: 1
Source: RefSeq, a predicted model, not a curated record